CACGUCAGCGCGCUUUGCUAACGUGGACACAAAUCGCGUCCACGUCAAAGCGAUUUGCGUCCACGUCAGCAAAAUGCGCUGACGUUG
This is a non-coding RNA of Gossypium hirsutum (cotton), 87 nucleotides long. The record is from Rfam. Lineage: Eukaryota; Viridiplantae; Streptophyta; Magnoliopsida; Malvales; Malvaceae.